This 94-nucleotide non-coding RNA is filed under the name human gut metagenome. Its description in RNAcentral is "THF riboswitch". It matches the Rfam family "THF (Tetrahydrofolate) riboswitch aptamer". Rfam says of the family: THF riboswitch presents a pseudoknot that joins P1-P2 and the loop of P3 and two THF binding. The record is from RNAcentral.
CAGAGUAGAAUCGCGCGCGUUAAGUGCCGCCCGAACGGGGAGUUGUCGAGCGGACGAAAAGAUUUCUUGCGGUGCGCGACUCGCAUCCCGCUGU